This 71-nucleotide transfer RNA is filed under the name Loxodonta africana (African savanna elephant). It matches the Rfam family "tRNA". Rfam says of the family: Transfer RNA (tRNA) molecules are approximately 80 nucleotides in length. Lineage: Eukaryota; Metazoa; Chordata; Mammalia; Proboscidea; Elephantidae. The record is from Rfam by way of RNAcentral.
GCAGUGGUGGUUGAGUGGUAGAAUUUUUGCCCUAGUUGCAGGGGACACAGGUUCAAUUCCUGACCAGUGCA